UCGAGGAUCUUCGGCAAUGGGCGCAAGCCUGACCGAGCGACGCCGCGUGCGCGAUGAAGGCCUUCGGGUUGUAAAGCGCUGUCGAGGGGGAGGAAAGCCGCAAGGCAUGACCUAUCCCUGGAGGAAGGACGGGCUAAGUUCGUGCCAGCAGCCGCGGUAAGACGAACCGUCCUAACGUUGUUCGGAAUCACUGGGCUUAAAGGGCGCGUAGGCGGAACUGUUAGUCCGGGGUGAAAUCUUUCGGCUCAACCGGAAAAGGGCCUCGGAAACGGCAGUUCUCGGGGAAGGUAGGGGCAGGCGGAACUUCCGGUGGAGCGGUGAAAUGCGUUGAUAUCGGAAGGAACGCCGGCGGCGAAAGCGGCCUGCUGGACCUUUGCCGACGCUGAGGCGCGAAAGCCAGGGGAGCGAACGGGAUUAGAUACCCCGGUAGUCC
Molecule: ribosomal RNA, 433 nt
Filed under: uncultured bacterium
Lineage: Bacteria
Description: bacterial SSU rRNA
Rfam family: Bacterial small subunit ribosomal RNA
Source: RNAcentral